GAUGGUUUUAUUUUUUUAUUAUUGCUUGGCCCUAAUCCUCUUCUGUAAAUUAUCCUUUAUUUCAUCAAGAUUUUUUAAAUAUCAUCAAACAUACCUAGAGGUUUUUGCAUGCACAAACAAUUGUGCCUGCUUAACCAUUCACCAAAAUGUUGAUAUUUCCCUGACCUCUGAACCAAAUUGUUUGUGAAGAGGAAAAGUAGUUCUUCUAAUGUGUAUCUCAAGGGACAACAGUGCUAUUGUGAUAGUGAAGAGAAAACUGCAGUGAGAAACAUUCUAGCAGCGCUAUUGUUGUAAUGAGGGGUGUAAUGGGAAACAGCACUCACAAAAUUGUUUUUAUUUUUCACGUACUCAAGUAGACUCUUCAAAACCACUAGAAUAUUGCUGAAGAAGGAAAUUAAUUGUACAGUAUAUGCCUCAGCAAGCAAAACAUAUUAAAUCGCCUCAAAAUCGGUUUCAACUUCUCAAACCAUGAGAUGCAGUGUUGCAGGUUGCCCAGAAUAAUCAGUUUGUAUCUCUUUUUGUUUCAAAGAGAUGUUGACUAUCUACAGAGAUAGUCUAGUGUAAGUAAAAAGAAAAAACUAUGGUGGCAUCUCCUAAUACGCUUAUUUUCAAAUCUAAAUUUGAUCAUAUUACAUAUAGUACUAAACAAGCAAAGCAAGAUCUGACAAAGCGUUCCAACACAUUGUCACGCAGUGUGUUAUUUAACAGCAUUUCACUGAGCUUCUGUGAUCAAAUCGAUUUAAUAAGACCCUGUUUAAAACCGAAUUCGUCCAGUGUGGCUCCCCAGUGUUCUCCUCUAUGCCCGAUUGUUCAUAGAUCUGAUUGAAGUACAGUUCCUGUCACUAGACAUUGCAGGAUGGCUGAGGCUGGUACAGAAGAAGGAUGUUUGUUGGGCUGUGGAUUGCAGUGGGCUUUUUGAGAACUGGACAUCCAUUGUUUCACACACAGGAAGAACUGUAGGACCAUUUGUUGUGAGACCAAGCACAAUGGACCCUCAUACUGACCCCAAGGUCACUGCCCACACUUUCGGGCACAGCUCCACGUCGGCUUUAUAAUAUAGGAAAAGGUCUUUAAAGCACAGUCAUUCACAUUGAUAUCGUCCUAAACGUUCUCUGUGGGAUUUGGCUAUUGUUUUGGCGCGUACAGUACACCAUUGUGGUGUUUGAAGGAGGCAAUAGGCACUUACAAGGCGUAUAUAUUUAAUUCCGUGCCGUCAUUGUGUAAGUGAUUCUCAUUAGCUUACAUCAAUUCUUUAAUUACAAUUUUCAUUAAUCGCCUGCAGCUCCCUCAGCAAACCAUGAAGACCCAUUUAAAUCCAUUUCAUUGAGGCACUGAUAAUAAGCAAUUCAGAUAGAGUAUGUUUUUCAUUUUAGAGUCCUUUUUCCGCUACAAUGCCAGACUGCGUUUCACAGAACACAUCCGAACUCUCAGGUCCGUAUUAUCUGAUCGGGUCCAUACUGAAUUUCACCGUUUUGUCAGCACGCAAGUUUUUCCUACCAGCUCUUCUUUCAGUUCACCUUGUCGGGUCGUCCUUGGACUGACUGCUAAAGCGUCAUGUAGUGCGUCUCCCAGCAGUUUCAAAAGUAGGUUGGACCCAUUUUCACACUAGGAGCUGCGAGAUUUCACCGAUUGCCAUCUUUUACCUUAAUGGGAGGGAGAUAUAAGGAUGUUGUAAUUUGGAAUAUAAAGGUGUAUUAAAUGAAUGGUACACCCAAAAA
Molecule: long non-coding RNA, 1718 nt
Organism: Megalobrama amblycephala (Wuchang bream)
Lineage: Eukaryota; Metazoa; Chordata; Actinopteri; Cypriniformes; Xenocyprididae
Exons: 2
Source: RefSeq, a predicted model, not a curated record